This 216-nucleotide long non-coding RNA is filed under the name Lathyrus oleraceus (garden pea). RNAcentral describes it as "Pisum sativum (pea) long non-coding RNA (PSAT_LNC018259)". Lineage: Eukaryota; Viridiplantae; Streptophyta; Magnoliopsida; Fabales; Fabaceae. The record is from RNAcentral.
UUUGGUGAGGGUGAGGUAAGAGAUUGCAGAGAGAGUGAAUUCGUGCAAAUGCCAAGGGUUCUCAAAUGAUGCUGAUGAUUGCCCUUAAGUAGAUAUGUGGUUUGGGAUUUGGUUAGGCUUGGAAUUAGGUUAGGGUUCUGUUAGAGAGAGGCUUGGAGUCAGUUGGGCUUAACUCAUUGAGUUAACUGAAAAACUCAGUUAGUUCCUCUUGACUCG